AGAGUUUGAUCCUGGCUCAGGACGAACGCUGGCGGCGUGCCUAACACAUGCAAGUCGAGCGAGAAUCCGGCGAUCAUCUUUCGGGGUGAGAGUUGGAGGAAAGCGGCGAACGGGUGAGUAACGCGUGGGUAACCUACCCUGUACAGCGGGAUAACACUGGGAAACUGGUGCUAAUACCGCAUGAGGCAUACAUGUGGCAUCACGUGUAUGUUAAAGGGGGAACCCGGUACGGGAUGGGCCCGCGUCCAAUUAGCUAGUUGGUGAGGUAACGGCUCACCAAGGCGAGGAUUGGUAGCCGAGCUGAGAGGUUGGUCGGCCACAUUGGGACUGAGACACGGCCCAGACUCCUACGGGAGGCAGCAGUGGGGAAUAUUGCGCAAUGGGGGAAACCCUGACGCAGCGACGCCGCGUGAAGGAAGAAGGUCUUCGGAUCGUAAACUUCUUUGACUGGGGACGAAGUAAGUGACGGUACCCAGGGAACAAGCCACGGCUAACUACGUGCCAGCAGCCGCGGUAAUACGUAGGUGGCGAGCGUUGUCCGGAAUUACUGGGUGUAAAGGGCGUGUAGGCGGGAGAGCAAGUCGGAUGUGAAAUCCCAAGGCUCAACUUUGGGGCUGCAUCUGAAACUGUUCUUCUUGAGUACUGGAGAGGGAAGCGGAAUUCCUAGUGUAGCGGUGAAAUGCGUAGAGAUUAGGAGGAACACCAGUGGCGAAGGCGGCUUCCUGGACAGAGACUGACGCUGAGGCGCGAAAGCGUGGGGAGCGAACAGGAUUAGAUACCCUGGUAGUCCGCGCCGUAAACGAUGGAUACUAGGUGUAGGAGGUAUCGACACCUUCUGUGCCGGAGUUAACACAAUAAGUAUCCCACCUGGGGAGUACGGCCGCAAGGUUGAAACUCAAAUGAAUUGACGG
RNAcentral lists this ribosomal RNA (911 nucleotides) under uncultured bacterium. RNAcentral's name for it is "bacterial SSU rRNA". It matches the Rfam family "Bacterial small subunit ribosomal RNA", at positions 8 to 916 of the family's 1533-position model. The record is from RNAcentral.